Molecule: ribosomal RNA, 164 nt
Filed under: uncultured bacterium
Lineage: Bacteria
Description: partial 16S ribosomal RNA
Rfam family: Bacterial small subunit ribosomal RNA
Source: RNAcentral
UAGGGAAUCUUCCACAAUGGGCGAAAGCCUGAUGGAGCAACGCCGCGUGAGUGAAGAAGGGUUUCGGCUCGUAAAGCUCUGUUGUUAAAGAAGAACGUGGGUAAGAGUAACUGUUUACCCAGUGACGGUAUUUAACCAGAAAGCCACGGCUAACUACGUGUCAG